This 107-nucleotide small RNA is filed under the name Salmonella enterica. RNAcentral's name for it is "partial RtT sRNA". It matches the Rfam family "RtT RNA", at positions 1 to 105 of the family's 130-position model. Rfam says of the family: This family represents a bacterial cis-regulatory element known as RtT RNA. The exact function of RtT is unknown although it is thought that it may be involved in changing the cellular response in relation to amino acid starvation. The record is from RNAcentral. Lineage: Bacteria; Pseudomonadati; Pseudomonadota; Gammaproteobacteria; Enterobacterales; Enterobacteriaceae.
AUAUCUCUCUGUACGGGAAGGAUGAGAAGCUUCGACUAAGGUUCGAUUCGAGCGAAAGCGAGAAAGCGUUGCCGCAGGCAACGACCCGAAGGGCGAAGCGCGCAGCG